GCGAGGGCCCCGGAUGGGAUCAAAGCCCGGGCCUCCAGGACGCCGGACAAGUUCGCCCCCUGCUGGUCAGGCGGAGGCUCGGGCUUCUUUGUCUUCAACUACAGCCCUGGUGACUGUUUCCCAGGAGGAUGCGAGACACAUGCCCAGGAUUCAGCACAGAGCAAGCUCAUGUAAUAUCUAUUGAAUAAACACACAGGAAGGAAUGAGAACCCAUUAGUUCUGAGUGCCACAUUUUAUGAGAGGAGCUGACAAACUAUAGCAUAACCAGAGAUGGCAGCCAGGACCUUGAGUGUUCUGGAGACCUCGUCACCAGACAAAAGGUUAAAAGAACAGAAGAGAUAGACACAGAGAAGAGGAGAUGGAAGAGGCAGCUUGGACAAUUGUUUUGUGAAAUCACACGGAGGAAUAAUAUGAUGAGCUUUGAUUUACAUUGUUCCAGAAGGCAGAAUGGGAGCCAGGGAGCAGAGCUCCCAGGUGGAUCGUAGCUCCAAGCAGAUGGCCAUUCCCCACGGCUGGAACCACCCAGGUAGGGGGCAGGCUGCCUCCUGGGGAGGGCCUCCCCCACCAGAGGGGAUGGCCACUCAGAGGACGGACACCACCAGGGGGAGGGGCACAGGAUGGGCCUGCACCAACUGCUCAGACUACCUGGAAGAUUCCAGAUUCAUCUCUCCCAUGAUGCAGGAGGAGAACAAGUUUUCAUGUGACAUGAGUCCUGUGAGGACCUGAGCAAAACUAUGAAAAGGGAAAAUCCGACUUCAGCGUCCCUCACUUACCUUUUCAGAACCUUAUCAUCUCUGCUUGUAAAACUCCUAACACUAGCAUUCUUGUCUUGGAUGUGAGUAAAGGAAGAAAAGAACUUACUUAAGAGGUUACUGCCUUAAUAUAUGCCAAUCCACACCAUGAAAGAUGGGGCCUCAUGAGACCAACGAGCAGACCUAAUGGUGGGCCUGCAGCUCAGUAGCGUCUGAAUGGGAACGUCCUCUGACCGACCAGCUGACGAGGGCUCCGGCACAGCACUAGUCAGGGGCACGGGGGCUGGACUGGGGGGCAGAGUCCUGGGUCUGAGUCCUGGCUCCGCCUGACACUGACUGCGCCGGUUACGCUGCUGGUUAGUUUCUUAGCUUCUCUGAGCCUCAUUUCCCUCACCUGUAAAACAGGGUUACUGCCCCCCUUGUCGAACACAAACAUGCAAGGAGCAGAGAGAGGCUGUCUGAGGGGGACACAGAAGGAGAAACACCAGCUCUGACCCAGGCAGAGGGCUGCGCUGAGCUCUCCGCCACGCCUGGUCCCUGCCGGGAGCCCGGUGCUCCCUCCUGGCUCCGGGGCUCCCCGGUUCUCUCCCACCAUCCCAGGCAUGCCCAAAGGCUUCCGAACUCACUCCCUCCCACAACCUCUUCCAGCACCCCAGAGGAUUUCCUCCACCUCUGCCCUUUCCAUCCCCAGAGGCAUCUGCCUGCUUCAGAGGGAGACAGUUCCCAUAAAGGAAAAACCAGCUUAGCCAAUUCAGGCCACUAAACCCUUGGGUUUCUUUUUGGCAAAUAAAGGGCUUCGUUAUUCUACUGCAUAGAACUGACUCAGAGCAAAUUAAAACUGAUUUCCACCUCAA
Camelus dromedarius (Arabian camel) is the source of this 1606-nucleotide long non-coding RNA. RefSeq lists it as uncharacterized. Lineage: Eukaryota; Metazoa; Chordata; Mammalia; Artiodactyla; Camelidae. The transcript has 2 exons. The record is from RefSeq and is a predicted model, not a curated record.